Molecule: non-coding RNA, 1339 nt
Organism: Biomphalaria pfeifferi
Lineage: Eukaryota; Metazoa; Mollusca; Gastropoda; Planorbidae
Source: the annotation of a GenBank genome assembly
AUUUUUUAAGUUUUAAAUAUUUAAUAAAAACUAGUUGAAACAUUUGUAUAAAUAAAUAAACUCUUGGAAGUCAGCUCAAAAUUAGAGAAAUGUCAUUAAGUUUUGCUUAAAACUUAGAAUCACAACAGUUGUAUAAAUAAAAAUGUUGGCUAGAAACACACAUUUUGCCUUGAGAAUGUAAGUUGAUUUUUUGAUUGCCUACUAAGGUCACAGUUACCAAAAGAGAAACAAUGGUUGGUGCCAAUGGUAACAGUUUUGAUUUUGGCCUCUGGCCAAAUUAACAAAUAGUUUGAUUUCAAUAUUGUAAGUUUGACAUGCAAGGCUUUGUUGUUUUUUUUGUUUGUAUAGCUUGGGAAAACAAAGAAAUGAAUCUAGUUUCAAUGGCAUACCUAUCCAAGUUGUUAAAUCGCAAAAUUAAGAUAUUGUCCACUGUCUCAUUCUGGAACAUCAUCAACACAAAUACCCUAUAACUAUUCCAGAAACACAUUCAGCUAAAAAUGUCUGCUUCAAUACCACACUAGGACUUGUCAAGCGUAUUUCAAAGAAUAAUACAAUAGUCACGGCUUCAAACAAUUUCUUAUAAGGGUAUGUAGCUUACAAUAUCAUUUUGUUAAACUGUAAAAAGAUUAUUCAAAUGACAAAAAAAUAUAUCAUUUUGACUGGUAUUGAACUGCAAAUUGACAAUAAGUAAAGCUUAUAACACUGAAUCAUCCUAAAAUAGAUCAAUAAAUUAAAAACAAAAAUCUACAGGAACAUGUGGCAAUGUUAUGAUAUUGUUUUGUAAUUUCAAAAUGUAAACCAAAAAAACAAAAUGGAAUGACCAGAGAUUGGCAAAAUAAAAACAAUGUGUAAAAUACAUUCAAAGACUCCAUUUCACUUGUUGACAUACAAUACAAAUUAAACAUGGUAACAAAGUAAAGAAAAAUAAAAAUCUCAUUGGAUUAUAUAAAGUGUACAUUGAACCCACAACCUUGUACAUAAUCAAAGAGUAUAGACUUAACUAACUACUGUCAGUCAGGGCACCAUGUCAAUUUAGCCAACCUUAAUAAAAAAUUGUGAAUUUUUUUUCCCCCCCACAAUCUAAUGGAGCAAUUAAAAUGCUAUUAGUGGGUGAAAGGGAACUGUCAACAUUCACAAAUGUAAAUUGUUUGACAUGUUUUGGAUGUUACUUGAGAGUUGAAGAGAAUGUACAUUCUAGACCAAACCUCCCGUAGAACAACGGAGAUGGCAGCGGGCAGGGUAUGAAACAGUCCCACGCAUACCACAUGACCAGGCAGCCAACACUGAACUGAAUUAAAUAAAUAAUCUUAGCAUAUUAAGCCACAAAAAAAAAAAAAAA